GAUGAACGCUGGCGGCGUGCCUAAUACAUGCAAGUCGAGCGAACAGACGAGGAGCUUGCUCCUCUGACGUUAGCGGCGGACGGGUGAGUAACACGUGGAUAACCUACCUAUAAGACUGGGAUAACUUCGGGAAACCGGAGCUAAUACCGGAUAAUAUAUUGAACCGCAUGGUUCAAUAGUGAAAGACGGUUUUGCUGUCACUUAUAGAUGGAUCCGCGCCGCAUUAGCUAGUUGGUAAGGUAACGGCUUACCAAGGCAACGAUGCGUAGCCGACCUGAGAGGGUGAUCGGCCACACUGGAACUGAGACACGGUCCAGACUCCUACGGGAGGCAGCAGUAGGGAAUCUGCCGCAAUGGGCGGAAGCCUAACGGAGCAACGCCGCGUGAGUGAUGAAGGUCUUCUGAUCGUAAAACUCUGUUAUUAGGGAAGAACAAAUGUGUAAGUAACUAUGCACGUCUUGACGGUACCUAAUCAGAAAGCCACGGCUAACUACGUG
This 497-nucleotide ribosomal RNA is filed under the name uncultured bacterium. RNAcentral describes it as "partial 16S ribosomal RNA". It matches the Rfam family "Bacterial small subunit ribosomal RNA", at positions 28 to 507 of the family's 1533-position model. The record is from RNAcentral.